ACGCUGGCGGCGUGCCUAAUACAUGCAAGUCGAACGCCUUGUGGUUUUAAUGAAUAGCGUGCUUGCACAAUAUGAUUUAAAACAAUGCAAGGAGUGGCGAACGGGUGAGUAACACGUGGGAAACCUACCUCUUAGCAGGGGAUAACAUUUGGAAACAGAUGCUAAUACCGUAUAACACUAAAAACCGCAUGGUUUUUAUUUGAAAGAUGGUUCUGCUAUCACUAAGAGAUGGUCCCGCGGUGCAUUAGUUAGAUGGUGAGGUAAUGGCUCACCAUGACGAUGAUGCAUAGCCGAGUUGAGAGACUGAUCGGCCACAAUGGGACUGAGACACGGCCCAUACUCCUACGGGAGGCAGCAGUAGGGAAUCUUCCACAAUGGGCGCAAGCCUGAUGGAGCAACGCCGCGUGUGUGAUGAAGGGUUUCGGCUCGUAAAGCACUGUUGUAAGAGAAGAAUGUACUUGAGAGUAACUGUUCAAGUAGUGACGGUAUCUUACCAGAAAGGGACGGCUAAAUACGUGCCAGCAGCCGCGGUAAUACGUAUGUCCCAAGCGUUAUCCGGAUUUAUUGGGCGUAAAGCGAGCGCAGACGGUUAUUUAAGUCUGAAGUGAAAGCCCUCGGCUCAACUGAGGAAUUGCUUUGGAAACUGGAUGACUUGAGUGCAGUAGAGGAAAGUGGAACUCCAUGUGUAGCGGAGAAAUGCGUAGAUAUAUGGAAGAACACCAGUGGCGAAGGCGGCUUUCUGGACUGUAACUGACGUUGAGGCUCGAAAGUGUGGGGAGCAAAC
RNAcentral lists this ribosomal RNA (784 nucleotides) under uncultured bacterium. RNAcentral describes it as "bacterial SSU rRNA". It matches the Rfam family "Bacterial small subunit ribosomal RNA", at positions 33 to 773 of the family's 1533-position model. The record is from RNAcentral.